RNAcentral lists this ribosomal RNA (301 nucleotides) under uncultured bacterium. Its description in RNAcentral is "partial 16S ribosomal RNA". It matches the Rfam family "Bacterial small subunit ribosomal RNA", at positions 509 to 807 of the family's 1533-position model. The record is from RNAcentral.
CAGUAGCCGCGGUAAUACGAAGGGGGCUAGCGUUGCUCGGAAUUACUGGGCGUAAAGGGCGCGUAGGCGGACAGUUCAGUCGGGGGUGAAAGCCCGGGGCUCAACCUCGGAAUUGCCUUCGAUACUGGCUGUCUUGAGUAUGAGAGAGGUGUGUGGAACUCCGAGUGUAGAGGUGAAAUUCGUAGAUAUUCGGAAGAACACCAGUGGCGAAGGCGACACACUGGCCCAUUACUGACGCUGAGGCUCGAAAGCGUGGGGAGCAAACAGGAUUAGAUACCCGUGUAGUCCCUGUCUCUUAUAC